AUUGGACCGGCAGGUGCACAUGCGGGUGCCGCUACAACCCUGCACUCAUCCUGUCCUCCCUUCAACAGCUCUGUCUCACUGGGAGGCAGUCUGGGCACGCCACUGUGUGCUACACACAGCAGGGUGGCUUUACCCUCUCGCCAUCUUCACCCUACCAGCUGUGGCCAUUGCUGUAGAAUGCACGUGUCUGCCCUCGCCCAACAUGUGGUGACAGCUCUGAUCACACCACAUACGCAAUAACACUGUUGAAUGAGGGAAUAUCCCAAAUGAGACAAGUAAUGUUACAAAAUAGGAUAGCUCUGGAUGUGCUCACUGCCGCCCAGGAGGACCUGUGCUCUGAUCAAGGCAGAACGUUGUGUCUCUCUCCCAGACUAUGCUCGUAACAUUUCUUCUGUGAUGGCCUCCUUCCGCACCCAUACACAGGCUACUGACUCCCUGUCCGCUGCCCUGGUCUCGGCUUGGAUUCAGUUCCCCCCUCCACCUGGCAAAAGGUGUCCUUUGGCAUUCUUGCCUUCUUAUUAUUGAUUUUGUUCUCUUGCUGUGAUCUCUAUUGCUGUUGUGGCAUCUGGUUACAAUGCUCCUCUGUGUGUCUGGCUCAGGGACUCAGCAGAAGAAUGACAUGAUAAGUUUGUGAGGGCCAUUCGGACACAUGGCAGGUGGAGUGUAGGUGUCCGGGGCCUUGCUUGCUCAGCAAGAGCCCACAAGCCCACCACAAGCAUGUGUCCCUCAGGCUCCCUUCUGGGCAAGACGCCCGGCUUCUGGGAUGUGUCACAAUCCAGGGCCUGGCCAGCCCAGAUCCCACCUUAUCUCACUUUAAGAAUGUCGCGUCUUGAAGGGACACACAGCCCUCCACGUGAGCUACUGCUCCUGGGAACGCUGGGCGUACCAGGAACAGCCCCUUGGCAGGCAAUGGCCUUUGUGUCCCCUGCCUCUGUAAGAGCCCCCUCCGCGCCUGCGGUAGCGGGUGCACAUUGCUGUCCAGACGGCCGCCCCUGGGUCUCCCUGUAAGCGCCUCCCGAUAAACCCAUGUGUCUCGUUCACCAACUCCGGAUCUUGUCUUUGGUCUCCCAGCUACCUGCCUCCACUGCUCACCCGGCUGGGCGUGUGGCGGAACAGCCCCCCACACCUUCCCCCACUCUAGUAAUAAAGGCUCCCACCGUACUUUCCCCUGGCUCCUCCUGUCUCGGACCAGCCCUGGGCUCCACGGGCGGCUCUGCACAGUGUGGUGUGGUGCGGCGUGCCCCAUCCUCUUGGGAAUUGUGAAUAAUGAACUCUUCUUUCAAGGCACUCAUCUCCAUGUCUGUCGUCUUACCAGUCCUGAUUAAAACAGAACCCCAGGCACGUUCUAAAGCAGCGGAGACGGGAGGGAGGGCGUUCCCAACUGUGGGAAGGGCGUGUGCCAACCUGGAGAGGCGAUGGAGGGAAGAUGUUCUGCUUGUGUGGAGCGGGGGCCGCAAAGCACGUGUGGGAAGCUGAGGUUAGAACAGGAAGGGCCUGGGCCCCAGGGAAAGGAGCCUGGACUGGUCGGGCCCGGUGGGGGCCCCCGGAGGGAGCGGGGCCUGGGCGAGGCGGUCUGAUUUCCAGGCUGCCCUGUCUAAACCGACCCCUCCCGCGUGCUCCCCCUUGCCUUCCUCUCUUUGCUGUCUCCCUGAUCACUUGACGCUGUCUAACAUAGCAUUUCGUCCCGUUUGUUGGUCUUCGUUGCCUCUCUUCUAGAGUGUGAGACCCACCAGGGCAGGGAUGCUCGUCUGCUCUGUCCUCCGCCGAGCCCCCUGUGUCAGAACGGUGCCGCCCACGGACGAGCUCUCAGCUAGGAAAAUCCCAGGCAGGAGUCAGCUGGAUGGUGAAAUUUCAGUCUGAGAGAGAAAGCCCUUGGACUUCUUCCUGGAGUUCCCAGCCCCGGGCCGGAGCCUUCCACAGGGUCCCACGGGGGAGUCUAAGACCCCCACUUCCAGAUGGGGAAGGUGCAGCCCAGAGAGGGGCCACACAGCAAGGAAAGAGGCCUCCUGGAGCCACGGGCGUGGUCCCAAGCCCCCUUCUGCCCCUCUCCCAGACUCAGAUGCCUGGCCUCCAAUCCAUCACUGCUGAUGGGCUGAGUGACCGCAGGCAGGGCACCACCCUCCUUGCUUGUGCAUUGCCAUCCUGGGGACAAUGACAAGGCAGCUCCAGCUCCUUCCCCAGGUUCCUCAAAGCCUCAAGCAAAAGCAAUCAGCACAGGGCAGCCGUCCUAGCAGAGAACAACCAGGCUUGGGGUCAGUCAGAUUUGCCCCGGGCUGCCAGGUAGGGGUUCUGUGACCUCCCUGAGCCUCGGUUUCCUCAUCUGCUAAAGGGGCCAUGAGAUCGAUGUAUGCAAAACAGCUAGCACAGUGCCCGACACAGCAGUGAAUGGUGACC
This 2394-nucleotide long non-coding RNA is filed under the name Equus caballus (horse). RNAcentral describes it as "lncRNA (ENSECAG00000055122.1)". The record is from RNAcentral. Lineage: Eukaryota; Metazoa; Chordata; Mammalia; Perissodactyla; Equidae.